GAUGAACGCUGGCGGCGUGCCUAAUACAUGCAAGUCGAGCGAACGGACGAGACGCUUGCUUCUCUGAUGUUAGCGGCGGACGGGUGAGUAACACGUGUAUAACCUACCUAUAAGACUGGGAUAACUUCGGGAAACCGGAGCUAAUACCGUAUAAUAUUUUGAUCCGCAUGGUUCAAAAGUGAAAGACGGUCUUGCGGUCUCUUAUAGAUGGAUCCGCGCUGCAUUAGCUAGUUGGUAAGUUAACGGCUUACCAAGGCAACUAUGCAUAGCCGACCUGAGAGAGUGGUCGCCCACACUGGAACUGGGCCACGGACCAGACUCCUGCGGGAGGCAGCAGUAGGGAAUCUGACGCAGUGGGCGAAAGCCUGACGGAGCAACGCCGCGUGAGUGAUGAAGGUCUUCGGAGCGUAAAACUCUGUUAUUAGGGAAGAACAUAUGUGUAAGUAACUGUGCACAUCGUGACGGUACCUAGUCAGAAAGCCACGGCUAACUACGUG
Molecule: ribosomal RNA, 497 nt
Filed under: uncultured bacterium
Lineage: Bacteria
Description: partial 16S ribosomal RNA
Rfam family: Bacterial small subunit ribosomal RNA
Source: RNAcentral